CCUGGGAAGGGAAAAAAAUUUGUUGCAUACCGGCUACUCCUGUGCAGACCCGCUCCAGAUGGACGACGUGGGGAUCGGACGGCUAUCUCCGCUCGGCUCCAAUGCAGCGCGAUAUGGUGAGGAUGGAGGAGUCUCGCUCAUAGGUAUCGACUCAUUCGGCUCAGAUCCUCUUCUCUCAUCUUACCGGCGGCCGGCGCCACCUCCGCCGCAAACCCAAAGGCGUCGCCUCCCGACGUGUUCCCCUCCGCGGUCCCAUCCACCUCCUGCCUGAUCCCGCGCCGCCGUCUCGCUCGUUCGCCGCUGGGACGCGUUUAUGCGCGCAUCGGGGACGGGGAGGACUGCCAUGGUCUGGGACCUCGGCCUCGCGUGUAACACAGCACCUCGACCGACGACCAUCGAUCAAAUGGUGCCCGGCCUUGUCCUUCUUGUCGACCUGUAUCUGUAUCUGACCAACGGUGAAUUGGCAGAAUUGCUCAUAACAUUAUUCAGAGUUUGUUCAUAAUGCUUUAUUCAGAGUUGAGAGCUAGAUGAUUGUUCUGCAUGUUGCCUAGAUUACUACUCUACCACCAGCUGGCUUCAGAUGGUCAAAAUGUCAUUGAUUUUCACAAUGACAAAACACAAAAUGUUUACUAUUGCACAUGUCGAAAGUCACUGAUCUGUGAACUGUUCUUCACACAGGCAAAAGAGAAAGAGGAAAAAAAGCUCAAGGCAAAGGCAAAGGCAAAGGAGGCAGCUAGGCUCCAGGCACAAGCAGCUUCAGAUGGUCCUAAAAAAAGUGAGAAGAAGCAAAGGAAGAAAGCUGUUGAGGAUGAGAAUCCUGAGGAUUUCAUUGAUCCAGACACUCCUCAUGGGCAGAAGAAAUUUCUUGCAUCUCAAAUGGCCAAGCAGUAUAGCCCAGCUGCUGUUGAGAAAUCAUGGUAUGCCUGGUGGGAAUCGUCAGGAUAUUUUGGGGCAGAUCCUGUGGCUCAUACUUUGAAGUUUGCACUAGAUAUUACGUGAGUUUUGCCACCUCCAAAUGUCACCGGAGCACUUCAUAUAGGCCAUGCACUUACAGUGGCUAUAGAGGAUGCCAUUAUACGCUGGCGAAGGAUGUCAGGUUAUAAUGCUCUGUGGGUUCCAGGAGUCGACCAUGCCGGCAUUGCUACACAGGUUGUAGUGGAGAAGAAGCUUAUGCGUGAAAAGAAAUUGACGAGGCAUGACAUAGGGCGUGAAGAAUUGGUAUCUGAAGUUCUCAAAUGGAAAGAUGAAUAUGGGGGUACCAUAUUGAAUCAACUACGUAGGCUUGGGGCCUCACUUGAUUGGUCCCGCGAGUGUUUUACAAUGGAUAAACCAAGAUCGAAAGCUGUAACUGAAGCUUUUGUGAGGUUGUACAAACAAGGCCUGAUAUAUAGGGAUUAUCGCCUCGUGAAUUGGGACUGCACUCUUCGAACAGCAAUUUCUGACGUAGAGGUUGAUUAUCUAGAUAUUAAAGAAGAAACCAUGUUAAAGGUUCCUGGUUAUAAUACAACUGUACAAUUCGGCGUGUUGAUCUCUUUUGCAUAUCCACUUGAGGAAGGAUUGGGUGAGAUCAUUGUCGCAACAACAAGAAUCGAAACAAUGCUUGGUGAUACAACAAUUUCUGUUCACCCUGAGGAUAAUAGAUACAAGCAUCUGCAUGGUAGGUAUGCAAUUCAUCCCUUCAAUGGCCGAAAGCUCAAAAUAAUCUGCGAUGCUGAGUUAGUGGAUCCCACUUUCGGUACUGGGGCUGUCAAGAUUACACCUGCCCAUGAUCCAAAUGAUUUUGAGGUUGGAAAGCGACGCAGCCUUGAGUUCAUCAAUAUCUUCACAGAUGAUGGAAAAAUAAACAACUAUGGAGGUGCACAAUUUGAAGGAAUGCCAAGAUUCACUGCUCGAGUUGCUGUUAUUGAGGCACUGAAGGCAAAGGGCUUGUACAAGGAGACAAAAAAGAACGAAAUGUGUUUGGGUGUUUGUUCAAGAACUAACGACGUGGUGGAGCCUAUGAUAAAACCCCAAUGGUUUGUUAAUUGCAAUACCAUGGCAAAAGCAGGUAUUGAUGCUGUAAGGUCCAAAAGAAUUGAAAUUAUUCCACAACAGUAUGAGCAGGACUGGUAUAGAUGGCUUGCAAAUAUACGUGAUUGGUGUGUUUCAAGGCAGCUUUGGUGGGGACAUCGUGUGCCUGCUUGGUAUGUUGUACUAGAAGAUGAUCAAGAGAACAUUCUGGGUUCUGAUAAUGACCGUUGGGUUGUUGCUAGAAACGAAAGCGAAGCAAACCUGGAGGCACAUCAAAAGUAUCCUGGGAAGAAAUUCGAGUUACAUCAAGAUCCUGAUGUGUUGGACACAUGGUUUUCAUCUGGUCUUUUCCCAUUAACCGUACUUGGUUGGCCAGAUGAUACAGCUGAUGUUAAAGCUUUCUACCCUGGUUCAGUGCUGGAAACUGGACAUGAUAUUCUCUUCUUUUGGGUAGCGCGGAUGGUGAUGAUGGGGAUGCAACUUGGUGGUGAUGUGCCAUUUCAGAAGGUUUAUUUGCACCCUAUGAUCCGGGAUGCUCAUGGAUGCAAAAUGUCUAAGUCGCUUGGUAAUGUCAUUGAUCCCGUUGAUGUGAUAAAUGGUAUUCCACUGGAAGGUCUCCUCAAACGUUUGGAAGAAGGCAAUCUGGAUCCAAAUGAAUUGAACAUUGCAAGCGAUGGGAAGAAGAAAGAUUUUCCUGAUGGCAUUGCUGAAUGUGGUACUGAUGCCCUCCGUUUUGCACUGGUUUCUUACACUUCUCAGUCUGACAAGAUAAACCUGGAUAUCAAACGAGUUGUUGGAUAUCGGCAAUGGUGCAACAAAUUAUGGAACGCCAUUCGUUUUGCAAUGGGCAAGCUUGGCGAUCAUUACACUCCCCCUGCAACUAUUUCUGUAACUAUAAUGCCACCAAUAUGCAAAUGGAUAUUGUCAGUGCUUAACAAGGCUAUUGGCAAAUCUGUCACCUCGUUAGAAGCAUAUAAAUUUUCUGAUGCUACUUCUGCUAUAUAUUCAUGGUGGCAGUACCAACUGUGUGAUGUAUUUAUAGAAGCUAUAAAGCCUUACUUCUUCAAUGACUCUCAAGAGCUCGAAUCAGCAAGAGCUGCCUCUAGAGAUGCCUUAUGGGUUUGCUUAGAUACCGGCUUGCGCUUGCUCCACCCAUUCAUGCCUUGUGUAACUGAAGAGCUCUGGCAGCGUCUUCCUCAGCCUAAAGAUUCUUGUCAGAAAGAUUCCAUUAUGGUAUCAGAGUACCCAUCCCUUGUUAAGGAAUGGGCAGAUGAUAAACUUGAAAAUCAAAUAGAUAUUGCCUUGGAUACUGUCAACAAACUAAGAUCUCUGAAGCCACCAACUGAUACAAACGAGAGACGGCCUGCUUUUGCGCUUUGCCGAGGCCAAGAGAUUGCUGCCAUUGUUCAAUGUUAUCAGUCUCUAGUUGUGACUCUUUCUUCUAUAUCAUCUCUAAAGAUCCUGAUAGAGAGUGAUGAAACACCACCUGACUGUGCAACAGCUGUUGUGAACAAAGUUUAUCUGUAUACCUCCAACUCCAAGGAGCUCUCAAUGCAGAAGUUGAGCUUGAAAAGCUAAGGAAAAAGAGAGAAGAAAUUCAAAAGCUGCAACAUGCCCUAUCACAGAAAAUGGAAGCUUCCGGUUAUAAAGAGAAGGCUCCACAUAAUGUCCAGGAGGACAUGAGAAAACUGACCAGUUUUUUGGAACAACUAGAGAUUAUCAGUGAAGCUGAAAAGAAGCUAGAUGCAAAAACUGGCAAAAACUGAGUCAGAAAUCCCUGUUGUGAUUUUGAAGAUACCUUCUCUUUGUGGAAGUUUCAUCUAAAAUUUUGUACUGUUGCCUUAGUCAUAUACUAGAAUGAUCAGAUAGCCAGAUUUGUGAUUUUGCAGCUUGAAGAUAUAUCCACAGCAUUAUAGUUUUGGUUGUACGACAUUGCAUUUGAAAAUAUUCUUACCUACACAGCAUUAUAGUGAUAUUGAUUUUUCUUACCUA
Oryza sativa Japonica Group (Japanese rice) is the source of this 4002-nucleotide RNA transcript. It is a transcript of the gene named valine--tRNA ligase, mitochondrial 1-like, with no coding region annotated. The record is from RefSeq and is a predicted model, not a curated record. NCBI's taxonomy places the organism in Eukaryota, Viridiplantae, Streptophyta, Magnoliopsida, Poales, Poaceae.